Molecule: long non-coding RNA, 2582 nt
Filed under: Gossypium barbadense (sea-island cotton)
Lineage: Eukaryota; Viridiplantae; Streptophyta; Magnoliopsida; Malvales; Malvaceae
Description: long non-coding RNA (GBAR_LNC018546)
Source: RNAcentral
UCGGCCAUAUCCUUGCUUAAUUAAAGGUUCCUUUUUGUUCGGUUUUUGAAAAUUUUUACGUUUUUGAGAUCGUUGCUUUGUGUACUACAAGACCCAUGCUUUAAUUUUAGAAUUUGGUGUUGAUUUUGUGAUAUGCCAUUGAUGAAUGCUUGAGAUUUGUGAUAGUUGAUGAUGAAAUAUGAAAGAUAUGUGAAAGAUUAACGUGUUUUGUCUUUGAAUUUUUGGUGAAAUUGAGUAAUUAGGGCUAAAUUGUGAAAUUAAAAUUUUGAGGGAUUAAAAUGUGAAAUAAAUGAAUUUGUGGACUUGUAUGAGCACUAGGGACAUUCGGCCCUUGUAUAGUAUGGGCAAAUUUUGUGUAUUUUGUGUUUUAUGUAAUAGGGACUAAAUUACAAAAAAAUGUAAAUAUUAGGGGUAAAAUGGUAAUUUUCCCAUUUAUGUGUUUUUGGACUAAAUUGAAUGUAAUAAUAUUUAAUUUAUCUCAUUUUGUAUAUAUUUAGAUCAAGAACCAAAGAAAUCGGAGUUAGAUCGAGGAAAAGUUAAAGUCGUCGACUAAUUGUCCGGUUUCGAUUUUACACUGUCCGAGGUAAGUCUAUUAGCUAUAUAAUGUCAUAAAAAUCAGUAUUUAGGUAUGUAUAUGUGAUGUAUUUUGAUGAAUUAUAAUUUAAAAUAUGUUGGUUGAAAUAAUUAAAAGCAUGAGUGAAUUAUAUGCAUUAUUGUUACAUGUUCGAAUCAUGGUUAUAUACUUAUAUGGGCAUUUGAAUUUAGUUAAAGUAUGAAGGUAUAUAAGGAUAUACAAUUAUAAAUGUUAUCAAAUUUAGUUGGAGUAUAAAAGUUUUAUAUUUUUAUAUGUACAGGUUUUGAAUUUAUACAUGUAUAUACAAGUAUAAAGUAUUGGUUUAAUAAAAAGUAUAUAUAUAUGUGUGUGUGUGUACUUAAGAUUCGGAAAUAAACAUAGGUUUAUAUUGGUAUAAAACUUUGUAUUGGAUCUAUAAUAUGCAAAUAUACAUGUAUAUGUCCUUGUAUUGAAUUCAGGUAUGCCAUUUAUACAAGUUUAUAUGAGGUUCAAUUAUGCAAAUAUGCAUAUAUAUAUAUGUUCUGUAAUGAGUUUAAGUAUGGAAUUUAUACAUGUAUAAGGGAGGUUCGAUUAUGUAUGUAUAUUCAUGUAAAAACUCUUGAAUGGAAUUGAAGAUAUGAAAUUAUUAGUUUGGAAUAUCAUAAGGUGUUCGAAUGCAUGAUAUUAGGUAGUAGGCUUUAAUGUAUUAAGUUAUAUAUAAUAUAUGUUCGGAUGUAUAAUUAAGUUAUUGAGCUCGAAUUUGAUGUCUGAACUUUAUAUACCUAUGUGGAUUAAAGAUAUAGUUUAUAAAUUAUUGAGUUGAAUUUUUAUGUGGAUAAUAUAUACAAAUAUGAGAUAUAACUUCUGUGAAUUGAGAUUUUAGGCUCACUGCCUAUCAGGCUUAAUGCCGGUGAAACAAUAUCAGACUUUACGUCUAGCAGGCUUAAUGCCGGUGAAAUAAUUUCAGACUUUACGUCUAGCAGGCUUAAUGCCAGUGAAACAAUAUCAGACUUUACGUCUAGCAGGCUUAAUGCUGGUGAAACAUUUCAGACUAUAUGUCUAGCAGGCUAAGUGCCGGUGUACUGAAUCAGGCUUUAAGUCUAGUAGGCUAAGUGCCAGUGAAUCUGUUUAAAGAAUGUGAUUAAGUGUACAGUUAUAUGAUUUUGGUUAUCUUUAAUUGAUGAGCAUAUAUACCUUCGGCUAAGUGUGUUUAAUGAAUAUGUACAUAUUCUGUCUAUGCAUUAGUAAAAAUAUACAUACAUGCUUUCGAUUUAUGCAGUCGAUAAAUGUAUACGUAUAAAUAUUCGGUAUAUGUAUUUGAUAAGUAUCUACAUAUGCAUUUGAAAUGUAUACACCUCUAUUUAUAAUUAUUUGAUGAAGAUGAAUGCAUUUGAUCACAUGUAUUAGAUUUGUAUUUGGUUAUAAGUUUAUUAUGAGUAUACAUACACAGUUGGAUAUGAUAUGUGUAUAACAUACAUAUAUGCUCGGUUAUAUUCAUUUGGUUGUAAUGUUGUUUGGUAUAAAUAUAUAUAUUCAAUUGAACGCAUUUCGACGGGUACAUAUAUUUGACUAUAAAUAAAAUGGCCUGAGUACAGUAAAUGUAUAAAUAUUAAUUAUAUGUGUUAAUUGCAAUCUCAGUAAAUUAAAUUAAAAGUUAUAUUAUUUCUAUAUAUAUAUAUUUCAUUAUGCAAUAGACUUACUAAGCUAUAAAAGCUUACUUUGUUUGUUUAUGUCUUUCUGUUUUAUAUACUUAAAGAUCAAGCUUCAAGCUCGGGGAUCGUCAACAAGAUCAUCACUCUAUCUACUGUCUCGGUAUUAAACUGUUUAAAUUUUAAUUAUGGCAUGUACAGGCUAGAUAAAUGUUUUGGAAAGUCGUACUUUGAUAUAUUGUAUAUGAAAUUAAUAGUCAUACGAAAAUUACUUAUAUUCUUAUUCUUUAACUGGAUUGUAAUUUUAAAGAGAAGUUUAAAAUUUUACAUGUUUAAUAUUAGACCUAGCAAUUUAUAUGUAACCGUUAAAAUUAUUGAAC